This 468-nucleotide ribosomal RNA is filed under the name uncultured bacterium. RNAcentral's name for it is "partial 16S ribosomal RNA". It matches the Rfam family "Bacterial small subunit ribosomal RNA", at positions 28 to 507 of the family's 1533-position model. The record is from RNAcentral.
GAUGAACGCUGACGGCGUGCUUAACACAUGCAAGUCGAACGGAAAGGCUCCUGCUUGCAGGGGUACUCGAGUGGCGAACGGGUGAGUAACACGUGGGUGAUCUGCCCUGUACUUCGGGAUAAGCUUGGGAAACUGGGUCUAAUACCGGAUAGGACAACUUUUUGGAUAUUGUUGUGGAAAGCUUUUGCGGUAUGGGAUGAGCUCGCGGCCUAUCAGCUUGUUGGUGGGGUAAUGGCCUACCAAGGCGUCGACGGGUAGCCGGCCUGAGAGAGUGUACGGCCACAUUGGGACUGAGAUACGGCCCAGACUCCUACGGGAGGCAGCAGUGGGGAAUAUUGCACAAUGGGCGCAAGCCUGAUGCAGGGACGCCGCGUGGGGGAUGAAGGCCUUCGGGUUGUAAACUCCUUUCGCUAGGGACGAAGCUUUUUUGUGACGGUACCUGGAGAAGAAGCACCGGCUAACUACGUG